GUUUGGUCAAGCUACUAAGGGCGUAUGGGGGAUGCCUUGGCGCCAGAAGGCGAUGAAGGGCGUGGUAAGCUGCGAUAAGCUCCGGUGAGGUGCACACAACCAUAGAUCCGGAGAUUCCCGAAUGGGGCAACCCAUCCCGAGUAAUGUCGGGAUAUCGUUUCGAUGUAUUGUCGAGACGAGGCGAACGCGGGGAACUGAAACAUCUCAGUACCUGCAGGAAAAGAAAGCGAACGUGAUUCCCUGAGUAGCGGCGAGCGAAACGGGAAGACUGCCCAAACCGGACCGUACGUUAAAGCUCGCGCGCGUUGUGCGGUCGGGGUAGUGGGUCUUGCUUGGACUCUAGCGCGAACGGGGUCGAGGAGUUACAAAGCUAUGCCCUAGUCGAAUAGUCUGGAAAGACUAACCAUAGAUGGUGAUAGUCCAGUAGGCGAAAGGGUGAUAGCCUCCUUGGAGCGAAUACCCAAGUACCACGGGACACGGGAAAUCCUGUGGGAAUCCGGCCCGACCACGGGCUAAGGCUAAAUACUCUCUGGCGACCGAUAGUGAACCAGUACCGUGAGGGAAAGGUGAAAAGAACCCCUGGCGGGGAGUGAAACAGAACCUGAAACCAUGCGCCUACAAUCAGUGGGAGCUAUCCUUGCCGUGAUCUUCGGAUCGGGCAAGGGGUGACCGCGUGCCUUUUGCAUAAUGAGCCGGCGAGUUACUUCUACGUAGCGAGGUUAAUCCCUUCUGGGGAGGAGCCGUAGCGAAAGCGAGUCCUAACCGGGCGACUUAGUUGCGUGGAGUAGACCCGAAACCGAGUGAUCUACCCAUGGCCAGGGUGAAACGCGUGUAACAGCGCGCGGAAGCCCGAACCGGUGAGUGUUGAAAAACUCUCGGAUGAGCUGUGGGUCGGAGUGAAAGGCUAAUCAAACUCGGAGAUAGCUGGUUCUCCCCGAAAUAGCUUUGGGGCUAGCCUUGGAAGUUUAGUGGCGGAGGUAGAGCACUGACUGGGUAAGGGGUCUAUGAGACUACCGACCCCAUUCAAACUCCGAAUGCCGUCACUUGAGAUUCCAGGAGUCAGGCCACGAGGGAUAAGCUCCGUGGCCAAAAGGGAAACAACCCAGACCGUCAGCUAAGGUCCCUAAGAACAGGCUAAGUGACAAAGGAUGUGGGAUUGCCCAGACAACCAGGAUGUUGGCUUAGAAGCAGCCAUCAUUGAAAGAGUGCGUAACAGCUCACUGGUCAAGUGGUCCCGCGCCGAAAAUAAUCGGGACUCAAGUCUGUCACCGAAGCUACGGAACGGUGCGAUGACUUGUCAUCACGCUGUUGGUAGGGGAGCGUUCCAUCUGAGGUUGAAGGUUCGUCGCGAGGCGGGCUGGACUGGAUGGAAGUGAGAAUGCCGGCAUGAGUAGCGACAAAAUAGGCGAGAAACCUAUUCACCGAAAGCCUAAGGUUUCCUGAGGAAGGCUAAUCCGCUCAGGGUCAGUCGGCCCCUAAGCCGAGGCCGAGAGGCGUAGGCGAUGGGAAACAGGUCAACAUUCCUGUACCACCUGAGAUGCGCUACCAGCUAUGGGGUGACGCAGAAGGGGUGGCCAGCUCCGUGCUGGAAUACGGAGUCCAAGCCCGUAGGAGGUCCUGGCAGGCAAAUCCGCCGGGGCGCUAACUCCGAGAGGCGAUGGGGAGCCCGUUAGGGCACAAACUGGUCGUUACCAGACUGCCAAGAAAAACCUCUAUGCGAGUAUCUUGGGUGACCGUACCGUAAACCGACACAGGUAGGCGAGGAGAGAAUCCUCAGGUGCUCGAGAGAACCCUCGUUAAGGAACUCGGCAAAAUGACCCCGUAACUUCGGAAGAAGGGGUGCCCUGCUUGGUGUAAGCUCUUGCAGCUGAAGCUCGGCGGGGCCGCAGAGAAUCGGCCUGGGCGACUGUUUACUAAAAACACAGGUCUCUGCUAAGUCGCAAGACGAGGUAUAGGGACUGACACCUGCCCGGUGCCGGAAGGUUAAGGGAAUGAGUUAGGUGAGUGGCAACACGAACCGAAGCUUUGAACCGAAGCCCCGGUAAACGGCGGCCGUAACUAUAACGGUCCUAAGGUAGCGAAAUUCCUUGUCGGGUAAGUUCCGACCUGCACGAAUGGUGCAACGACUUGGGCACUGUCUCAACGAGGGACUCGGCGAAAUUGUAGUGGUGGUGAAGAUGCCGCCUACCCGCGACUGGACAGAAAGACCCCGUGAACCUUUACUGCAACUUGAUACUGGAUUUUGGCAUAGCAUGUGUAGGAUAGGUGGGAGACAGCGAAGUUCCGACGCCAGUCGGGAUGGAGUCGCCCUUGGAAUACCACCCUUGUUGUGUUGAGGUUCUAACCACUGUCCGUGAAUCCGGGCAUGGGACAAUGUCAGGUGGGCAGUUUGACUGGGGCGGUCGCCUCCCAAAAGGUAACGGAGGCGCCCAAAGGUUCCCUCAGCGCGGCCGGUAAUCGCGCAUCGAGUGUAAAGGCAGAAGGGAGCUUGACUGCGAGGCCAACAAGCCGAGCAGGUGGGAAACCAGGGCUUAGUGAUCCGGCGGUUCUGUGUGGAAAGGCCGUCGCUCAACGGAUAAAAGGUACUCCGGGGAUAACAGGCUAAUCGGUCCCAAGAGUUCACAUCGACGGACCGGUUUGGCACCUCGAUGUCGGCUCAUCGCAUCCUGGGGCUGGAGGAGGUCCCAAGGGUUGGUCUGUUCGCCCAUUAAAGCGGUACGUGAGCUGGGUUUAGAACGUCGUGAGACAGUUCGGUCCCUAUCCAUCGCGGGCGCAGGAUAUUUGAGGGGAGCUGUCCUUAGUACGAGAGGACCGGGACGGACGGACCUCUGGUGUACCAGUUGUGGCGCCAGCUGCAUCGCUGGGUAGCUAUGUCCGGAAGGGAUAACCGCUGAAAGCAUCUAAGUGGGAAGCCCACCCCAAGAUAAGAUAUCCCUCCCGAGCAAUCGGGACUGAAGGCUCCUCGUAGAUUACGAGGUUGAUAGGCCGGAGGUGUAAGUCCUGCAAGGGAUUGAGCCGACCGGUACUAAUAAGCCGUGAGGCUUGACCAAACA
RNAcentral lists this ribosomal RNA (3053 nucleotides) under candidate division TA06 bacterium SM23_40. Its description in RNAcentral is "bacterial LSU rRNA". It matches the Rfam family "Bacterial large subunit ribosomal RNA". The record is from RNAcentral.